Unclassified non-coding RNA from Pongo abelii (Sumatran orangutan), 148 nucleotides. It matches the Rfam family "Metazoan signal recognition particle RNA". Rfam says of the family: The signal recognition particle (SRP) is a universally conserved ribonucleoprotein. The record is from Ensembl. NCBI's taxonomy places the organism in Eukaryota, Metazoa, Chordata, Mammalia, Primates, Hominidae.
GCCAGGCGUGGUGGCGGGCGCCUGUAAUCCCAGCUACUCGGGAGGCUGAGGCAGGAGAAUUGCUUGAACCCAGGAGGCAGAGGUUGCAGUGAGCCAAGAUUGCACCACUGCACUCCAGCCUGGGUGACAGAGUGAGACUCCGUCUCCA